This 400-nucleotide ribosomal RNA is filed under the name uncultured bacterium. Its description in RNAcentral is "bacterial SSU rRNA". It matches the Rfam family "Bacterial small subunit ribosomal RNA", at positions 355 to 770 of the family's 1533-position model. The record is from RNAcentral.
UGGGGAAUAUUUGGCAAUGGGUGAAAGCCUGACCAAGCAAUGCCGCGUGGAGGAAGAAGGUCUUUGGAUUGUAAUCUCCUUUUCUCAAUGAAGAAGUUCUGACGGUACUUGAGGAAUAAGCAUCGGCUAAUUCUGUGCCAGCAGCCGCGGUAAUACAGGAGAUGCAAGCGUUAUCCGGAAUUAUUGGGCGUAAAGCGUCUGUAGAUCGUUUAAAAAGUUUGGUGUUAAAUAUCAAAGCUUAACUUUGAAAUGGCAUCAAAAACUCUUAAACUUGAGUGCAAUAGGGGCAAGGGGAAUUUUCAGUGUAGCGGUGAAAUGCGUAGAGAUUGAAAAGAACACCAAUGGCGAAAGCACCUUGCUAGGUUGAGACUGACAUUGAGAGACGAAAGCUAGGGGAGCA